Molecule: ribosomal RNA, 790 nt
Filed under: uncultured archaeon
Lineage: Archaea
Description: bacterial SSU rRNA
Rfam family: Archaeal small subunit ribosomal RNA
Source: RNAcentral
ACUGCUCAGUAACACGUAGUCAACAUAACCAGAGGACGUGGAUAAACUCGGGAAACUGAGGCUAAACCGCGAUAGACCAAGAUACCUGGAAUGGUUUUUGAUCAAAAUCUAUAUGGCCUUUGGAUUGGACUGCGACCGAUCAGGCUGUUGGUGAGGUAAUGGCCCACCAAACCUGUAACCGGUACGGGCUCUGAGAGGAGGAGCCCGGAGAUGGGUACUGAGACAAGGGCCCAGGCCCUAUGGGGCGCAGCAGGCGCGAAACCUCUGCAAUAAGCGAAAGCUUGACAGGGUUACUCUGAGUGAUUUCCGCUAAGGAAGUCUUUUGGCACCUCUAAAAAUGGUGCAGAAUAAGGGGUGGGCAAGUCUGGUGUCAGCCGCCGCGGUAAUACCAGCACCCCGAGUGGUCGGGACGAUUAUUGGGCCUAAAGCAUCCGUAGCCGGUCCUGCAAGUCCUCCGUUAAAUCCACCCGCUCAACGGUUGGGCCGCGGGGGAUACUACAGGGCUAGGAGGCGGGAGAGGCAAGCGGUACUCGAUGGGUAGGGGUAAAAUCCACUGAUCCAUUGAAGACCACCAGUGGCGAAGGCGGCUUGCCAGAACGCGCUCGACGGUGAGGGAUGAAAGCUGGGGGAGCAAACCGGAUUAGAUACCCGGGUAGUCCCAGCUGUAAACGAUGCAGACUCGGUGAUGGGCUGGCUUCGUGCCAACCCGGUGCCGCAGGGAAGCCGUUAAGUCUGCCGCCUGGGGAGUACGGUCGCAAGACUGAAACUUAAAGGAAUUGGCGGGGGAGCA